GACGAACGCUGGCGGCGUGCUUAACACAUGCAAGUCGAACGGUGAAGCGCCUUCCUUUUUGGUGGGUGUGGAUGAGUGGCGAACGGGUGAGUAACACGUGAGUAACCUGCCCCCUUCUUCUGGAUAACCGCAUGAAAGUGUGGCUAAUACGGGAUAUUCUGGGUCUGUCGCAUGAUGGGUCUGGGAAAGAUAUUGUUUCGGUGGGGGAUGGGCUCGCGGCCUAUCAGCUUGUUGGUGGGGUGAUGGCCUACCAAGGCGGUGACGGGUAGCCGGCCUGAGAGGGUGGACGGGCACACUGGGACUGAGACACGGCCCAGACUCCUACGGGAGGCAGCAGUGGGGAAUAUUGCACAAUGGGCGCAAGCCUGAUGCAGCGACGCCGCGUGAGGGAUGGAGGCCUUCGGGUUGUGAACCUCUUUCGCCAGUGAAGCAGGGCUGCCUCGUUUGUGGGUGGGUUGACGGUAGCUGGAGAAGAAGCGCCGGCUAACUACGUG
RNAcentral lists this ribosomal RNA (494 nucleotides) under uncultured bacterium. Its description in RNAcentral is "partial 16S ribosomal RNA". It matches the Rfam family "Bacterial small subunit ribosomal RNA", at positions 28 to 507 of the family's 1533-position model. The record is from RNAcentral.